Molecule: ribosomal RNA, 459 nt
Filed under: uncultured bacterium
Lineage: Bacteria
Description: partial 16S ribosomal RNA
Rfam family: Bacterial small subunit ribosomal RNA
Source: RNAcentral
CCUACGGGUGACAGCAGUGAGGAAUAUUGGUCAAUGGCCGAGAGGCUGAACCAGCCAAGUCGCGUGAGGGAAGACGGCCCUACGGGUUGUAAACCUCUUUUGUCGGGGAGCAAAGCGAACCACGUGUGGUUCAUUGAGAGUACCCGAAGACAAAGCAUCGGCUCACUCCGUGCCAGCAGCCGCGGUAAUACGGAGGAUGCGAGCGUUAUCCGGAUUUAUUGGGGUUAAAGGGUGCGCAGGCGGAGGUGCAAGUCAGCGGUAAAAUUGCGGGGCUCAACCCCGUACUGCCGUUGAAACUGCAUCCAGUGAGUGCGCGAGAAGUAGGCGGAAUGCGGGGUGUAGCGGUGAAAUGCAUAGAUAUCACGCAGAACUCCGAUUGCGAAGGCAGCAUACCGGCGCGCAACUGACGCGCAUGCACGAAAGCGUGGGUAUCGAACAGGAGUAGAUACCCCAGUAGUC